RNAcentral lists this ribosomal RNA (497 nucleotides) under uncultured bacterium. RNAcentral's name for it is "partial 16S ribosomal RNA". It matches the Rfam family "Bacterial small subunit ribosomal RNA", at positions 28 to 507 of the family's 1533-position model. The record is from RNAcentral.
GAUGAACGCUGGCGGCGUGCCUAAUACAUGCAAGUCGAGCGAACAGACGAGGAGCUUGCUCCUCUGACGUUAGCGGCGGACGGGUGAGUAACACGUGGAUAACCUACCUAUAAGACUGGGAUAACUUCGGGAAACCGGAGCUAAUAUCGGAUAAUAUAUUGAACCGCAUGGUUCAAUAGUGAAAGACGGUUUUGCUGUCACUUAUAGAUGGAUCCGCGCCGCAUUAGCUAGUUGGUAAGGUAACGGCUUACCAAGGCGACGAUGCGUAGCCGACCUGAGAGGGUGAUCGGCCACACUGGAACUGAGACACGGUCCAGACUCCUACGGGAGGCAGCAGUAGGGAAUCUUCCGCAAUGGGCGAAAGCUUGACGGAGCAACGCCGCGUGAGUGAUGAAGGUCUUCGGAUCGUAAAACUCUGUUAUUAGGGAAGAACAAAUGUGUAAGUAACUAUGCACGUCUUGACGGUACCUAAUCAGAAAGCCACGGCUAACUACGUG